RNAcentral lists this ribosomal RNA (500 nucleotides) under uncultured bacterium. Its description in RNAcentral is "partial 16S ribosomal RNA". It matches the Rfam family "Bacterial small subunit ribosomal RNA", at positions 30 to 523 of the family's 1533-position model. The record is from RNAcentral.
AUUGAACGCUGGCGGAAUGCUUUACACAUGCAAGUCGAACGGCAGCACGGACUUCGGUCUGGUGGCGAGUGGCGAACGGGUGAGUAAUGUAUCGGAACGUGCCCAGUCGUGGGGGAUAACGUAGUGAAAAUUACGCUAAUACCGCAUACGAUCUAUGGAUGAAAGCGGGGGAUCGCAAGACCUCGCGCGAUUGGAGCGGCCGAUACCAGAUUAGGUAGUUGGUGGGGUAAGGGCCCACCAAGCCAACGAUCUGUAGCUGGUCUGAGAGGACGACCAGCCACACUGGAACUGAGACACGGUACAGACUCCUACGGGAGGCAGCAGUGGGGAAUUUUGGACAAUGGGCGGAAGCCUGAUCCAGCCAUUCCGCGUGCAGGAUGAAGGCCCUCGGGUUGUAAACUGCUUUUGUACAGAACGAAAAGGUUUCUACUAAUACUAGGAGCUCAUGACGGUACUGUAAGAAUAAGCACCGGCUAACUACGUGCCAGCCGCCGCUGUAA